RNAcentral lists this ribosomal RNA (488 nucleotides) under uncultured Propionibacterium sp. RNAcentral's name for it is "bacterial SSU rRNA". It matches the Rfam family "Bacterial small subunit ribosomal RNA", at positions 8 to 507 of the family's 1533-position model. Lineage: Bacteria; Bacillati; Actinomycetota; Actinomycetes; Propionibacteriales; Propionibacteriaceae. The record is from RNAcentral.
AGAGUUUGAUCCGUGGCUCAGGACGAACGCUGGCGGCGUGCUUAACACAUGCAAGUCGACGGAAAGGCCCUGCUUUUGUGGGGUGCUCGAGUGGCGAACGGGUGAGUAACACGUGAGUAACCUGCCCUUGACUUUGGGAUAACUUCAGGAAACUGGGGCUAAUACCGGAUAGGAGCUCCUGCUGCAUGGUGGGGGUUGGAAAGUUUCGGCGGUUGGGGAUGGACUCGCGGCUUAUCGGCUUGUUGGUGGGGUAGUGGCUUACCAAGGCUUUGACGGGUAGCCGGCCUGAGAGGGUGACCGGCCACAUUGGGACUGAGAUACGGCCCAGACUCCUACGGGAGGCAGCAGUGGGGAAUAUUGCACAAUGGGCGGAAGCCUGAUGCAGCAACGCCGCGUGCGGGAUGACGGCCUUCGGGUUGUAAACCGCUUUCGCCUGUGACGAAGCGUGAGUGACGGUAAUGGGUAAAGAAGCACCGGCUGACUACGUG